Molecule: long non-coding RNA, 318 nt
Filed under: Anser brachyrhynchus (Pink-footed goose)
Lineage: Eukaryota; Metazoa; Chordata; Aves; Anseriformes; Anatidae
Description: lncRNA (ENSABRG00000005007.1)
Source: RNAcentral
AGGCUUUAUAUCGCUCUCAGACACUGACAGCUGUAAUGCUUUUUACCAGGUAGUGAUCUCUGGAGACGGGCACGGUAUAUAUCAUUAUCUGUGUGUGCUGUGUUGCCAAACUUGGUGAUGGUAUGGGGACCAGCGAUACUUUGUGCACAAGAGACAUAAGGCUCCGAAAGAUGUUUGUAGGGGAAAUUUCUGGCUCCAACUGCUGUUAAGAAAACUGGCAUUAAAAUACUACUGAUGGAUUGGCUGGUGCUGGGUCCCAGUGCAGCUGUGGUGCCUUUAUACUAGGGGUCUAUUCCCUUGGAAAACAGCUUACAAAAG